CCUACGGGAGGCAGCAGUGGGGAAUAUUGCACAAUGGGCGCAAGCCUGAUGCAGCCAUGCCGCGUGUAUGAAGAAGGCCUUCGGGUUGUAAAGUACUUUCAGCAGUGAGGAAGGGGGUAUCGUUAAUAGCGGUACUCUUUGACGUUAGCUGCAGAAGAAGCACCGGCUAACUCCGUGCCAGCAGCCGCGGUAAU
Molecule: ribosomal RNA, 194 nt
Filed under: uncultured bacterium
Lineage: Bacteria
Description: partial 16S ribosomal RNA
Rfam family: Bacterial small subunit ribosomal RNA
Source: RNAcentral